Molecule: long non-coding RNA, 827 nt
Filed under: Sorghum bicolor (sorghum)
Lineage: Eukaryota; Viridiplantae; Streptophyta; Magnoliopsida; Poales; Poaceae
Description: long non-coding RNA (SBIC_LNC001687)
Source: RNAcentral
GCAAUCAUUUAACUGAUAAUAUUCACAUAUAAUAUUCAGUAAACACAAGAUCCAAUAUAUGUGCGAUCAUUUAUCUGAUCUUGUGUUUGCUGAAAAUAUGAAAAAAAAACACUGCAGUGCUGCGUCCUAAGCUCACAGAAAGGGAGAGCAAAACGCUAGGAGCAGGAAUGUCUUUUCCCCUUCACUCUCUAUGCUGGCCAGCUGAUGUGGACUGCCACCAAGGCAAAUAUGGUAUAUAUGUAUCGAAUUCGUAAUUCUGAUGGUAAAAAUGUAUUUACUAUUCUAAAAUUGGUAUUUAGAGAGGUGCCAAACUUAAUAAAAGUUAUAUAUCCCAUCGGGCGCCGGAGGACGUCCGUUGCGGGUGCAGCGGACAGCCGUGCGUUGGCGGCGAUGGGAGCCGCGAGGCCGUGGGCUGCUUGGGCCGGGAAAAAUACUCGUGUAGGAGUACCGCUGAAUCAUCCUGACAGCGGAUUCUUCAUGGAGGAUGAACGGGCUGAAACCUGAAAGCGUCGUCUCCUCGUAGGCUGUCGGGCCCAAGCAAAAACCUGACAUAAUAAUCUGGCCCAAGCAAAUAUGUAAGAGAAAACAAAACAAAACAAAUAACCGCAACAAAACAAACAAGAUAAACAAAUUACCUGACAUAAUAAUCUGGCCCAAACAAAACAACAAGAUAAACAGUAGGAGAAAAACAAUAACUGCAACACCUAACAAAAGCAAACAUGUAAGAGUAAGUAUAGUAAGAACUCAAAAAAAAAAUGACCGUAGAUGGGUUGUAUGCUAAGAUGGAGAAGAGAGGGAAUGGGAGAAAACAGAAGCAAGUUAUAAAU